Molecule: non-coding RNA, 144 nt
Organism: Gossypium hirsutum (cotton)
Lineage: Eukaryota; Viridiplantae; Streptophyta; Magnoliopsida; Malvales; Malvaceae
Source: Rfam
UAUUAAAAAUUUUAUUCAUCUCUACUAUUAAAACUUAGCAUGUUUAAUAAAAUAAUUAAAAAUCACACGUGAUGUGUUAUGUUUAUCUCAUGCUAACGUACAAGAAUCAGUUUUUAACAGUAGAAAUUGAUAAAAUUUUUAAUA